This is a non-coding RNA of Chrysemys picta bellii (western painted turtle), 1254 nucleotides long. The record is from RefSeq and is a predicted model, not a curated record. NCBI's taxonomy places the organism in Eukaryota, Metazoa, Chordata, Testudines, Emydidae.
GCACUAGUGCUACUGCACCCACCUCUGGGUACUAACAUGCCCUGCACCCAGGACCAGUGCCACUGCACCACCACUUCCCUCCACCAGGCAGCCCUUCCCCCCUGGCACCCACUCUCUGUGCACAGGAGUCCCCUUCCCUCUCUACCCCCAUGCAGAGUGCCCAGCCCUGCAAAUGCACAGAUCCAUCCCAGACCACUGUCACACACCGGCAGACACUGAACAGCCAACCUGAGCAGCAGCAGAUAGGAGAAUAAAAGGGAAUUUGAAUGAUGGCAGAUUAUUAAAUAACUAAGAACGUCACAUUUAUGUAACACUUUGGAGCGCAGGAGAUGUACAGGGCCUUGAAUACUGGGAUGAGCACCUUUAUACCCGGGUAACUGCCCUGCAAAGUUGCACCCGUUUAACUGUUGGUUUCUAAACCAAGAUAGAUGACAGCAGUCCAAAAACCAUGUGUAGAGCAGCCCAAAUUCCUCACCCUGUGCCACCCCAGUCAGCAAUGCUGUCCCUAUUGCACACACAGGCCUUCUCAACAUUAGGAAACAUUCUUGUAUAGAAACACAAAUGUUAAGGAUCUAGUUAGCUGAGGCAAUGCUGACCCCAACUUUGUAGUCAAUGUAGACAAGGACCAUAGUGUCAGCUAGCCAUGGUUAACCCCACCUGGUACCAGGAUCUGGCCUGGGAGGGCAUGCAAUUUUUGCUACAAGUCCCCCAUUUCCUCAUUAGGUUGCAGUUGUGAAGGUGCUUGUUUUUGUAGGAUGAAGGGCUUCUGCAACAGGCUGACCUUUUUGAGGAAUAGGCUAAACCUGUUGGAGAACCAGAAUUUGGGACCUUUCCAAAAUCAUGCAGUCUGGAAAGCUACACGUAUUUUCCUUUGAGUAGAGAUAUGCCAUGCCAUUGCUAACUCCUGACAAAAAAAGCUCAGUUCUACUAGACUUCAGCCCUGCGAUGUGCAGGAGAGGGUAUGCUAUGUUAACCAUUGGCCUUUUCAGUGCCUAAGAUUACAGUCCAGAUCUAGGUUCCAAAGGUCUGGUCGUCUUCUUGCUCCAGUGGGAUACAGACUUUGAUGCUUUUCCUCCAUUCUUUAAAUGUUUGUCCUUGAGCUAAUGCAUCACAACGCAUUUCCUGGCAACCAAGAGAACUACUUCCAAUAAUUUUGUCUGAUAUUUGCACAGUCCCACUGCUGCCAGAUUGUGAGUUAUACAAACUCUUUUAAUACAGAGUUUAUAAUUCAAACAUGCCUUAUAAGUAAACAAU